Molecule: long non-coding RNA, 900 nt
Filed under: Danio rerio (zebrafish)
Lineage: Eukaryota; Metazoa; Chordata; Actinopteri; Cypriniformes; Danionidae
Description: si:ch73-194h10.3 (si:ch73-194h10.3)
Source: RNAcentral
AGACUCACUGCAGUUUAAUGGACUGAAGUGAGACUCGCUCAGACCACGCUGGAUUUCACAUACAAUACUGUGGCUCUUUUUGUGUCGCCAACAAAUUUGAUCACAACACGGCGGUUUGCGAUGGGAAGGCUCUAAUGUGACCCUUGACCUCUAUCUUUCUCUGCAUUGCUAUUUUCUUCAGAGGGCCACUUGUGCGCUCCACAAUAACCCGAGUCAGAAGAAGAAGCACAUUUCGACAGGGGGAGAAUAAUGGCAUGCCAGGGUCGCAAUGUGGAGCCGCUGGGGAACCAUGGGAACGAGGGCCAGCACGCCUUUAGUAAAAACUCAUCCCGAGGCCUCUAGAGAUCAUGCAGCCCCAUUGAUGCGAUCCAAGACCUGUGCAAAAUUGAUGCCAAAAUAUCCAAAGACCUGGAGCGUGCAGUUUCCUGCGCAGAAGCUGUGGUGGUCAUGGAGGAGCAAAGAGCAUGAGACACCCACAGGUGACCUACUCACACCUGCAGUUUCUCCAAGAUGGAUUUCCAGCGUUCUCCAGCCUCCAAUGCCAAGACUGCAGGUCUGCACAGGAACUUUUGUCCAGAGGAAAAAUGGUGGUGUCCAACUGAGCCUGGUCUCUUCCUUUACUUUCGUCACUUUGUGAAGUUUUGUUCCUCACUUGGUUUGGGACUUGUGGAGCUGUACAUCGAUGGAUUUGCUCUUCAGUGUUUGGACUUUCAGCAGUGACAAAUAAACUACAGUGAAGUGAACUAAACUGAACUUCAACUUUGAAAUCUGGACUGACACAGUUUAAAUUUACUAGAGCUUCUAUGUUAAGCUGCUUUGACAUUGUCUAUAUUGUAAAAGCGCUAUAGAAAUAAACAUGAAUUUAAUUGAAUUACUGAAUAAAGCAGCACCUUUAAAGCC